RNAcentral lists this ribosomal RNA (492 nucleotides) under uncultured bacterium. RNAcentral's name for it is "partial 16S ribosomal RNA". It matches the Rfam family "Bacterial small subunit ribosomal RNA", at positions 29 to 507 of the family's 1533-position model. The record is from RNAcentral.
AGUGAACGCUGGCGGUAGGCCUAACACAUGCAAGUCGAACGGCAGCACAGUAAGAGCUUGCUCUUACGGGUGGCGAGUGGCGGACGGGUGAGGAAUACAUCGGAAUCUACUUUUUCGUGGGGGAUAACGUAGGGAAACUUACGCUAAUACCGCAUACGACCUACGGGUGAAAGAAGGGGAUCUUCGGACCUUGCGCGAUUGAAUGAGCCGAGGUCGGAUUAGCUAGUUGGCGGGGUAAAGGCCCACCAAGGCGACGAUCCGUAGCUGGUCUGAGAGGAUGAUCAGCCACACUGGAACUGAGACACGGUCCAGACUCCUACGGGAGGCAGCAGUGGGGAAUAUUGGACAAUGGGCGCAAGCCUGAUCCAGCCAUACCGCGUGGGUGAAGAAGGCCUUCGGGUUGUAAAGCCCUUUUGUUGGGAAAGAAAAGCAGCAGGUUAAUACCCCGCUGUUCUGACGGUACCCAAAGAAUAAGCACCGGCUAACUUCGUG